This 404-nucleotide long non-coding RNA is filed under the name Helianthus annuus (common sunflower). RNAcentral describes it as "hypothetical non coding rna". The record is from RNAcentral. Lineage: Eukaryota; Viridiplantae; Streptophyta; Magnoliopsida; Asterales; Asteraceae.
UUUACAAAUCCAAACAAUCAUGCAUUAAGUUGUUAUACAUUAUUAUGUAUAAGAAAAGGUAGAAUUAGCUAUGCAUGACAUAUUCAGCUCUAGAAGAACAUCAACAACCCAUUCUCAUUCAUUCAGGCAACGAUUUAAGGCCAACAAUGGCGGAAGAUGACACGUGACUAGAAAAAGGGAGAAGAUGGUACGGAAAAUCAAGAGCAAGCAAAUAUGGGACCAUAGAGAAGUGGAUGUGGUACAAGUAUAGGGGAAUCACGCUUGAAUGUUUCAAACUCAUAAAGUUGCAUAUGACCAGUGUUGAACUAUUUGUAAUUAAUGAACUAUAAAGCUAUGAUAAUUUGUAAGUGUUGUGUAUACAUUGUAUAGAACCAACAUUUCAGUUGAUGGAGAAUCACUUUUUU